RNAcentral lists this long non-coding RNA (6296 nucleotides) under Sus scrofa (pig). Its description in RNAcentral is "lncRNA (ENSSSCG00050039289.1)". Lineage: Eukaryota; Metazoa; Chordata; Mammalia; Artiodactyla; Suidae. The record is from RNAcentral.
GAGGCCAGGGCUUGAACCUGCAACCUCAUGGUUCCUAGUUGGAUUCAUUUCUGCGGCGCCACAAUGGAAACUCCUCUUUCCACUCCUUACAGUCUCAGCGUCUGUGUAAAGCUUCCUCAUGGCAGAGUAUUCAGUGACUAUCUCUAGCACAGUAUUGAUCAUAAUCUAUCAAAGUUAGAUUUUAUUUCAUCCACCCUCCACCCUGUGGCUCGAGCUGGUCUCCUUAACUCUCGGUAGAGUUCCGGUAAUGGUUAUGUAAGCAGAUGAAUCAGAGACAACACAGAGCAAAGUGUUUUCCUUAUAAGUUACACAGUUUUAUGUGUGAUCCUAAGGUGAUGGGUACUGGGGUAGGAGAAAAGCUACAAAGAACACUUUCGGGAACAUUGAUAAAAUUUUAAUAUGGACUGUUAGUAUUAUAUCAAUGUAAAAUGUCAUGGAUUUUAGUAGUUUUGUAGCCAUGGAAGAGAAUAACCCUGUUUUAAAGAAAAACCCAGUGACAUAACGUCCAAUAAUAAAGUGCUGUGAUGUCUCCGUCUCCAACAUACUUUGAAAUGUUCAUAAAAAUUAUAUAGAUGUACCGAUAGAGAAGUUGUUGCUUUUGCUAUUGGGAAUUUUAUCCUAUCUGGGGUCAUAUAGUUGCCUAUAAUGUUUUCUUUUGUCUUUAAUGUCCCUGAGGACAUGAACCCUUUUGGGAUGUUUCCAUAUUGCCUAGUUUUCUCUGAUGUAAGAUGUUAACAGAUUUGUUGAGAACCCACUCAUAGCAGAGAAAUCUUGUUUGGCUGAGUGGGUGAGCAGCAGUUUGGUGUAGUGAAAAGAACAGGGACUGGGAGCCAGAAGAUCCAGGUCCUCAACCCUUCUCUUCACUAAGACGUUGCAUGACUGUGGGCACAUCACUCACCUCCUCCUGGCACUGUCAUAGUUUAUAAAAGGAAGAUUGGGCUCUGUAGCUUUUAAGAUUUUGCUAGUCUUAAAGCUCUGGGCUUAAAUGAGCAGUGCAGAAAGAUAAUAGCAGAAUACUCAUGUGUAACACACAGUAUGUGAAGAAACCGAAAGGAAAUCAAAACAUAGGUAAUUAGCCAGAGCCGACAGGUGCACAUGGCCUUCUGGUGCUGCCCAAGAUGACAGAGACAUCUCUUCAAGGAGAAGGCACUGGAACCAGUCCAUGGGAGUCUUAAGUGAUCACAGAGCACAAGAAAGAAAAACAGUGAUGGGAAGGGAGAGAAAGUGUUCGUCAAAAAUAGAUUAGACUUUCCUGUAUUUAUACAGAGGCUACUAUAAGUCAUUAUAAUGAAUAGCUUCAGGGUCUGUAUGUAUAUAUAUGUAUUGAUGUGCAAAAGAAUGUUUUGCAUAAACAGCCAGACAAUAAAACAAAUUACAUAAGGUUUUGUACUGUGUCAUACUGUUUUAAAGUCCUGUGUAAAGAAGAUCAAUGUCUAUGAAGGAGAAUAAUAAUAAAUACCAAAGUUUAGACAAUAGUGACUUCAGGAAGAAGAGAUCAUAAGCAAAAGGGGAGAGGGGUAAUUCCGGAGAUCAGUAGAUAAGAAGCGACAACUUAAGAAUAAUUGCUUAAGAUAAAUUUGGAACACCUUACACAAAUCUAAGAUUGGAUAGUAAUGGUAAGUGGAGACAAAAUGGCUUUUCUUACAUUAUUCAUCGUAACCUUUUCAGGGUUCUGAAUAUUUUAUAAUGAAACACCACAUCUGAAAACAAGGGCAUGUAGAAAAGUGGAGGGUGAAAGUGUUAAGAAUAAAAACUUUGGAGAAAAGUACUUAAGAAAAAGAGUGAUUAGAAAGUAAAACUAUACAUAAUAUGAGAAGUGCUUUUGUGCAUUUGGUCAAAUAGCCAUGAAUGUAGAAUAGAGAGUCACUCUUUUGUGUUUUGAAGGCAAAGUGCCUUCUGUGUCUUCAGAAAGAAUUGAGCUGCAUAUUUCUGGCCCAUGCUGCAUGUCUGACUUCAGCCAUCUAGAUUUUAGAGUAUAAAUCAAGCUUUCUUUUCCCCAUGCUUCUUUGCUUAAGUUUCAUAAAAAGAUAUGGCUUUAUUGGGGAUAUGGGUUUUUCCUCUUUGGGGAACAGGAGCAAAUGUGUUACGUGGCCAUUGUUUCUGACAGUUCAUUUAUGCAGAUGAAACAAUCCAUUCAUUUGGUGAGUCCAUGGAAUCAAUGGCUUCCACUUUGUACUUCUUGAAAAAUAUACAGCAUUUCAGGGCCCUGGAUUUACAUUCCACAGACUUUCUGUUAUAAUGGAAUAGUUCUGGGUCCCUUGAGGGCAGGCCUAUAGCUCUGCAAGAGUGUUGAUGGCUUUCCUGUGACAUGGGCAUGUGUGUUUCUAAAUGUUCGCACUUGGAACAGUUCUUUUAAAAGUUCCUUGACAUAUAACGUGGGAAGAAGUGCUUCUUAGGGACUGUUUAUGAGAAAAGUUGCCUGUAGACUUAGCUUUGAGGGCGAAAAUGUGGCCAGCUCAUCAUCUUCUUUAGGCAACAAUGCUUCUAAAUGGAGAGUGAGGAGCAUUUUUAAAAGCAGUUUGACUUAAACCUUUUUUCAGGGGGAACAGACAUCUCAAAAACUCUGUUUUCUCCUUUUAUGUCCAAUUGGGUAGUUUUGGAAAUGAGUAUUUCUGGUCUGCUGGGAAUUAACAGAAAAUAAUCAUAAAUGGGGUGAGAGAGAUUUUUAUUGGUUAGCCACGUUCUGACAUUGCUCUCCCAAAAUAAGAUAAUUCCCUAUUUUAUGUAAUUCUGAUGUUAUGGUUGGGUCUUUCCUACGUGCCGAUAAUUUCACUUCCUGCCAGGUCUCUAGUUGGCAGCUGUGGGCAGCUUGGCUGCUUUGCGCAUGAGUAAACAAUUAGUGACAGAUCUGUGGCAUUUUUAGAUAAACACUUAAUAUCAAGGUCAUGACCUUGAAAGAUAUUUGCAUGUACAUAGAAGACGACCUUGAAUACCAGGAUUAACAUUUUGAUUUUGCUAAAAUGAUUGCUUAAUAUAUAUGGUAAAGAUAGUGCUUUCGGCUCCAGUCUGCUUACAGUUUCACAGCCGAGAAUAUUAGGCAAGCCCGUCAGUUGAUUGAAGGAGAUACACUCCAUUCCUUCUCCUGGAGCCUUGAUAAGAUGCCGGGAUUCCGCAUCCUUGGAGAUGACUGGCUUGAACAAGGAUUGUGGAGAAGAAAUAAAAGAUCCGAAUUAAUUGACAUAGAAGGAGGUGGCACAGAGAGGUUCUUGACCACCCUGGAAGGGGCAAGGGGGAUAAAGAGAUUCGUCCUCUGUUGAAUUAUUUACUCUUUGCUGUGUUCCUGAAGGAAAGUGGCUUUAUAGCCUUUAUCUUAUAAUGCCUCUUUAAUAGUCAGUUCUCUACUGGCUCUCUGCUCUGCUACGAAGCAGAGAGUAAGCCUCGGGAAACAGUGCCCAGUGCGUUCAAUGACUGACUGCUGAGUCGGAUGGUUGGAGCACUUCGGCAGAGCUCUCCAGGGAGCACCACCCAUGUGAAUCACUGGAGAGCCUCAGGAGCUCAGAGAGCCCUCUUGUCUCCUGACACUGCUCUCAUUUACCUGUGGGAUCAAUCUCAGGCUGCUGUGUCCCUUAACAUUAUUGCUUUUUUAACAUUGUUAUAAGCAUGGUUGCUUUUUUAACAUUGUUGUAAGCAUGGCAUAGUGGUUUGUGUAUGAAUUUAGAAGUCUACUUGUUUAGUUCAAAUCAGUUCCAUAGCCUCCUAUCAUGGGAGAUACAGAAACUUAUUUUACCUCUAUGACUUUCUUCACCAGUGGAAGGGGGACGACAGUGACAUUAAGCUCCUUGUGUUUCAGUGGGAACGACCUCUGCCGAAAGUAACAGGAAACCCCGUGUCACACCGACAUGCCUAGUCACGAAAUCCGUCUCACUUAAGCGGAAGUCAGAAGAUAGUUUAGUUCAGGCGAAGUGGGACCAGUGGCUCAAGAGUACCCUUCAGGGCUCAACUGCUUUCUGCUUCUCCCCUUGGUCACUUCAUGGUGGCAGUGUGGUUGCAUUCACCCCAGAUGUCAUACCCAACAAUGGGAAAGAAUAUGUGGUAUAUAUACACAAUGGAAUACUAUUCAGCCAUAAGAAAGAAUGACAUAAUGCCAUUUGCAGCAACAUGGAUGAACUAGAGAAUCUCAUACUGUGUGUAUCCUUUUUUAGGAGUAAGAAAAUCUUUCCUGAAAGCCCCUCUCCAGAUUUCCUUUCACAUCUUACUGGCUAGGAUUUGGUCACAUGCCCAUGCCUAGAUCAGCACUGACAAGAGGAAUGAUCUUGCAAAUGGUCAAGACAAUCACUUAGCAUAGAUUUCACAGAGCCACCUCUGUGACUGCCACCCAAAGGAUUUCGUUAGUGAUUCAGUGAGAUACUGCACAUGAAACACGUCAUACAACCCCAGGCACAAAAUAAACCGUCAGUGAAUCAUUAUCUAUUAUUAGCUAUUUGGUCAAGUUACAAAUUUAUACUAAUGUGAAAUUACGGAUGCUACCUGAUAUGUUUCUUUAGGAACAUUUUUGUUCUAAUGAGCCAGAAGGCUUUAAAUGAAAAUAAUAUUUAAUGGUGGGUUUGCAGACAUCGAUAAGAUGAAUUAGGCAUCUAUUUUGUGGGCUUGGGGUACUUUUAUAGAAAUCCAUACAUCUGUUUAAUGAGGAGAGUUAUAUCCUUAGAGUUUCAACCACUGUUGGGACUGAGAAGUUAAUGAAACUACUGGAAAGAAUAAAAAUGAGAGCAGAACAAAAUUUCUUAACCACAGCUUGUCCGUAACCCACCCCUUCUCUUGCUUUUAGCUUCAUGAAUUACCUCAUCUCCAUGGUUAUUGCAGUCCACUCUGAAGACCUUAGAAGCUCUUCUUUAUUCCCGGCAGCCCUCACGUUGUCCCUGAUGCAACCUCUCAGUUCAUAACAACACUAGGUAGAGCCCACUUAGCGCCAGGCAGUAGGGGAGGUAUUCCUGCAAAUAAUCUCUGUUGUUCUCGCCUUGUCUCCAACUCCCUCAGAAUUCUAACCACAUAAUGGAGACGGAGAAGGAGAAGGAAUAGGCCUGAGGGUUUAAGAUUCGUUGGUAUAGACUGAAGCAGGAAUGUAAGCGAGCUCCCUCAUGAAUAAUUCUUGAGGGGCUCGAAGGUGGGAAAAAAAAAAAAAAAAAGAUAUGCUCAUUAGACUCAGGAGGCAUCUUGAGUUUUCCCUCCCAACUCUGCCUUUUAUUUGUUAAGAAGUUCCGAAUAGGGAAGAGGUUAUAACUCGACUUCAGGGUUUAAGUAAGGGUCCUAAUUUGCUUGCAAACUUGAAGGUACUUUGUAGUUAUUUUUCUACAUUUUCUUAUGUAAUGGCUGUGCAGGGUUGGUUGGGGCAAGCCUUGUAGCUUUUUUGCUUGACCUCCCUCCACUCAAGAUCACGGCGAAUAAAUAACAAGGGGAAUUUCUCAGGCUUAGUGAUGGGAGAUUUGGUUGAAAGGGGCAGUGCAGGUGCUUCUAAAACCCUUCCCUCAGAUGUGCCAGGACUCUGGCGCCUACAAGAUUGGUUUGGGACUCUUACAAGACCAGCCAUUCUCUGGGAAGUUUCCAAGAACUUCCUGUUACUAGUCAGGCAAAAAGAGAGAGAUGAAGAAUAAAGUAAACACAACUUCAUUUCUUUUGGGGAGUUCAGCAUAAUUUUUGUGGUUCAGGACAGAUUCAGAAAAUGCCAAGCUUGCAAUAAAUGUCACCUUUUUGGUAGCACUGUGGGUAGACAGAUGGUUAGUGGUCCCGCUGAUGGUGGUGAUGGUAUUGCGGGGGUGGUGUGGAGAAAAUCAGCAGAAUUUUUCAGAAUACUUUCAAUAGCUAUUCCUUGACAUCAGCAAACUCCUAUUGAUUCUAAAUGUCAUUAGUGUGUCUCUUUAUGGCCAUAAUUUUAGUUGCAUAAUCAUGUAUUAAUACUCUUUCUAAUAUGUAAAUAGUAUUUAUUUAAUAAAAUAAAUAUAUCCAAUAAAUAUUCAUGGGAUUCUGCUUUUAGUGCCUUCUUUGGGACCUUAAAAGGAGGAAAAAAAAAAGAUAGAAAAGGAGGAUCUUUCUGUUAUUACAAAGUGUCUUAAAAGGCUUAUCUUUUUUUUUCCCCCCACAAAGGAAAGGAAUAUUGUUAAGCAUCUUGGUUGAGCCUACAGCUCAGGAAGCAGUUAUCCCUCUUUUUUGACAGCCUUUUUCAAGACAUACUGCCUUUCAGAAAUGAAUGCUUUGUUUGCCUCCCUUCCUAACCGCAGCACUGCAUUUCACGACUCACACGAGUACUUAACGUAGAGGAGUCUCAUUGUAUUUCAGUGUAAGAAAAAAAAGAAACAAAAAAA